UAGGGAAUCUUGCGCAAUGGGCGAAAGCCUGACGCAGCGACGCCGCGUGCGGGAAGAAGGCCUUCGGGUUGUAAACCGCUUUCAGGAGGGACGAAGCCACUCGGGUUAAUAGCCCAGAGGGUGACGGUACCUCCAGAAGAAGCCCCGGCUAACUACGUGCCAGCAGCCGCGGUAAUACGUAGGGGGCAAGCGUUGUCCGGAUUUAUUGGGCGUAAAGAGCGUGUAGGCGGCCAGAUAGGUCAGCUGUGAAAACUCGAGGCUCAACCUCGAGAUGUCGGCUGAAACCAUCUGGCUAGAGUCCGGAAGAGGAGAAUGGAAUUCCCGGUGUAGCGGUGAAAUGCGCAGAUAUCGGGAAGAACACCCGUGGCGAAGGCGGUUCUCUGGGACGGUACUGACGCUGAGACGCGAAAGCGUGGGGAGCGAACAGGAUUAGAUACCCUGGUAGUCCACGCCGUAAACGAUGGGAACUAGGUGUGGGCGGUGUCGACUCCGUCCGUGCCGAAGCUAACGC
Molecule: ribosomal RNA, 511 nt
Filed under: uncultured Actinomycetes bacterium
Lineage: Bacteria; Bacillati; Actinomycetota; Actinomycetes
Description: bacterial SSU rRNA
Rfam family: Bacterial small subunit ribosomal RNA
Source: RNAcentral